RNAcentral lists this transfer RNA (73 nucleotides) under Trichonephila clavata. It matches the Rfam family "tRNA". Rfam says of the family: Transfer RNA (tRNA) molecules are approximately 80 nucleotides in length. Their secondary structure includes four short double-helical elements and three loops (D, anti-codon, and T loops). Further hydrogen bonds mediate the characteristic L-shaped molecular structure. tRNAs have two regions of fundamental functional importance: the anti-codon, which is responsible for specific mRNA codon recognition, and the 3' end, to which the tRNAs corresponding amino acid is attached (by aminoacyl-tRNA synthetases). tRNAs cope with the degeneracy of the genetic code in two manners: having more than one tRNA (with a specific anti-codon) for a particular amino acid; and 'wobble' base-pairing, i.e. permitting non-standard base-pairing at the 3rd anti-codon position. Lineage: Eukaryota; Metazoa; Arthropoda; Arachnida; Araneae; Nephilidae. The record is from Rfam by way of RNAcentral.
GUUUCUGUAGUGCAAUGGAUAGCGCAUUGGACUUCCAAUCCAAAGAUUGUGGGUUCAAAUCACACCUGAAAUG